AACGAACGCUGGCGGCAGGCCUAACACAUGCAAGUCGAGCGAGGGCUUCGGUUCUAGCGGCGGACGGGGGAGUAACGCGUGGGAAUGUUCCCUUCUCUACGGAAUAGCUCUGGGAAACUGGGAGUAAUACCGUAUACGCCCUAUUGGGGAAAGAUUUAUCGGAGAAGGAUCAGCCCGCGUUGGAUUAGGUAGUUGGUGUGGUAAUGGCCUACCAAGCCGACGAUCCAUAGCUGGUGUGAGAGGAUGAUCAGCCACACUGGGACUGAGACACGGCCCAGACUCCUACGGGAGGCAGCAGUGGGGAAUCUUAGACAAUGGCGGCAACCCUGAUCUAGCCAUGCCGCGUGAGUGAUGAAGGCCUUAGGGUUGUAAAGCUCUUUCAGCUGGGAAGAUAAUGACGGUACCAGCAGAAGAAGCCCCGGCUAACUACGUG
This 433-nucleotide ribosomal RNA is filed under the name uncultured bacterium. RNAcentral's name for it is "partial 16S ribosomal RNA". It matches the Rfam family "Bacterial small subunit ribosomal RNA", at positions 29 to 507 of the family's 1533-position model. The record is from RNAcentral.